This is a long non-coding RNA of Stegostoma tigrinum, 1191 nucleotides long. RefSeq lists it as uncharacterized. The transcript has 2 exons. NCBI's taxonomy places the organism in Eukaryota, Metazoa, Chordata, Chondrichthyes, Orectolobiformes, Stegostomatidae. The record is from RefSeq and is a predicted model, not a curated record.
CCUCAUUUCAAACACCUCCAUCACAAUUGAAAGCUCUAUCUGUAUUUAAGCUAAAUGUUAUAUUUUUUAAAACUAAGAAAAUUCUCUGCAUGUAUCACUUUCUAAUUAGCUGUUUCCAUGGGGACCAAAUUACCUUCUGAACUGAGACUGAGCACCACACUCAAUCUCUCAGCUUCACCUUCUCCCUAUCUCACAAAACUUGUUGAAUCAAAGCACUCAACUCUACAGCACUGGCAGUGCAGCCUUGUCAUUUUAACUGUCUGCUCACGCCUACUCAGACUUCAACCUCAUUGCAGCUCAUCUUUCAAUUCAGCACGUGAUAACCUUCAACAUAGACUUCAGUAGGUUCAGGGCCAACGGAAUCUUUGUUAGGUUCCGGAAUGUUCCACCUGAUAGGGUGCCAGAAUUUAAGUACACGUGAAUUUUAAAGAGAGGUUUGCAGGUAUUUGAGAAUGAGGAAUGUAUCGGUUAAAGUCAUGAAGUGGGUGAUUGGGACCAAAUACGACAGUUCUUUCAAAAAGCUGAUGUGUUAUUUGGGUAAAUCUGUACCCCUCUCAGGCACAUAUCCCUCAGUUGCAGGACCCAGAACUGAACAUCUUCCCCAAACAGUGAUCCAACUAUAAGUUUGAAUAUAUUGCUCCUUUUCGAUUUACAAGAGAGAUAUUUUCCCAUAGACAGAACAGACAAACCUUCUUCCUUCCACAGUUAAGUGCCAACGCUAUUCAGAUCCUGACGACUCUGUUGAUUGUCAGAAAUUGUUUUGAGAUCCAGGUCUGCAAAUUCUUCUAAAACUAAUUCACAAAAGAAAAAUCACUGUCAGUUCAGGAUAGAAAUCUAGAAAGGACAAGCAUUUCUUUUGAUUUCAGUUUGGUUGUGUGAAAGCACCUUUUCGAAUCACCUCGCCCCGACACGGGAGGAAAACUACGCAUGCUCACAACUGCAUCUUGCCCCCAAGAAAGAUGGCACAGUUAACCAAAGGCCUAUCACCGCCUGAGCCUGCAGCCGUUUUCCCACUUGCUGCAAACGCGGGACCGGGAAUUUCUAAAUUCAGCAUUGUCCAUUCUGAGCUACAGAAGAAGAUUUCAGUUUACAGAUCCAAGUGAGAAUCCAAGACAUCAAUUCAACUGAAUCAUCUUCUCUGAUUUCUUCUGAAGUGUCUUUAGGAAAUAAAUUCGGUUUUUGUUUCAUAAA